GGGGAAUAUUGCGCAAUGGGGGCAACCCUGACGCAGCCAUGCCGCGUGAAUGAAGAAGGCCUUCGGGUUGUAAAGUUCUUUCGGUAGCGAGGAAGGCAUUUAGUUUAAUAGACUAGAUGAUUGACGUUAACUACAGAAGAAGCACCGGCUAACUCCGUGCCAGCAGCCGCGGUAAUACGGAGGGUGCGAGCGUUAAUCGGAAUAACUGGGCGUAAAGGGCACGCAGGCGGUGACUUAAGUGAGGUGUGAAAGCCCCGGGCUUAACCUGGGAAUUGCAUUUCAUACUGGGUCGCUAGAGUACUUUAGGGAGGGGUAGAAUUCCACGUGUAGCGGUGAAAUGCGUAGAGAUGUGGAGGAAUACCGAAGGCGAAGGCAGCCCCUUGGGAAUGUACUGACGCUCAUGUGCGAAAGCGUGGGGAGCAAACAGGAUUAGAUACCCUGGUAGUCCACGCUGUAAACGAUGUCGAUUUGGGGGUUGAGCUUUGAGCUUGGCGCCCGUAGCUAACGUGAUAAAUCGACCGCCUGGGGAGUACGGCCGCAAGGUUA
This 546-nucleotide ribosomal RNA is filed under the name uncultured bacterium. Its description in RNAcentral is "bacterial SSU rRNA". It matches the Rfam family "Bacterial small subunit ribosomal RNA", at positions 356 to 896 of the family's 1533-position model. The record is from RNAcentral.